Non-coding RNA from Etheostoma cragini (Arkansas darter), 573 nucleotides. Lineage: Eukaryota; Metazoa; Chordata; Actinopteri; Perciformes; Percidae. The record is from the annotation of a RefSeq genome assembly.
CUAACCAUUGUUGGUCUCUCUUCUGAUUAAGAUCUGAAAUUAUAAUGGGAGGUCCUUUCUGUAGAGCAAUGCCUUUAAACCCCCACCUCCUUUUAUAAAAAGCAGCCUCAGACAUUCAUCAGGUCGGCUGUGGCUGCGUCUCAUGGUAACAGGAUCACUAUUAUGACUCAAGUUCUCAUUGCAUUUGUAGUCUCGUCUCUGUGGCUUCAAGGUCAGUGCCAGGAUGUAACGCAACACCCUGAAAUCAGUUGGAGUUAUUUUUCCCAAUCUGCAGAGAUGAACUGCAGCCACAACAAAGAUAUUUCUCAUAACCAGAUGUACUGGUACAGACAGCGUCCAGGGGAGACCAUGACCCUCGUUGUCUACACAGUUGUUGGUGGACAGCCAGACUACGGGGGGCGGGAGGGGGGUCCUCAAACCAAAUAUUCAGCCAUCAAAGAAAAAACUGAGAGCGGAGCUCUUACUGUGAAAGACUUGCAGCCUGAGGACAGCGCUGUGUACUUUUGUGCCGUCAGUAAACACAGUGAUGUGACAAGUUGGAGCAGCUGAACAAGAACUGGUUAACACAUUUGG